GGAUUGACACAUCGGUCGUGCCUUAAGGGGUAUGAACUGGUGUAGUCAAUUUCUCACCUUCUGGAGAACCACGAUGCCAUUAAUUUGGUGUUUUGGGGAAUUUGGACUGUUACUUUGAAAAAAUUAGAGUGUUUAAAGCAAGCUAACGCUUGAAUACAUUAGCAUGGAAUAAUGAAAUAGGACGUUCGAUCCUAUUUUGUUGGUUUCUAGGAUUGACGUA
RNAcentral lists this ribosomal RNA (220 nucleotides) under Campeiostachys nutans. Its description in RNAcentral is "Elymus nutans partial small subunit ribosomal RNA". It matches the Rfam family "Eukaryotic small subunit ribosomal RNA", at positions 664 to 864 of the family's 1831-position model. The record is from RNAcentral. Lineage: Eukaryota; Viridiplantae; Streptophyta; Magnoliopsida; Poales; Poaceae.